GCGGAUGUGGCGGAAUGGCAGACGCGCUGGCUUCAGGUGCCAGUGCCCGUAAGGGCGUGGAGGUUCAAGUCCUCUCAUCCGCA
Molecule: transfer RNA, 83 nt
Filed under: Pseudomonadota bacterium
Lineage: Bacteria; Pseudomonadati; Pseudomonadota
Also listed under: 2 other names
Description: Proteobacteria bacterium tRNA-Leu
Rfam family: tRNA
About the family: Transfer RNA (tRNA) molecules are approximately 80 nucleotides in length. Their secondary structure includes four short double-helical elements and three loops (D, anti-codon, and T loops). Further hydrogen bonds mediate the characteristic L-shaped molecular structure. tRNAs have two regions of fundamental functional importance: the anti-codon, which is responsible for specific mRNA codon recognition, and the 3' end, to which the tRNAs corresponding amino acid is attached (by aminoacyl-tRNA synthetases). tRNAs cope with the degeneracy of the genetic code in two manners: having more than one tRNA (with a specific anti-codon) for a particular amino acid; and 'wobble' base-pairing, i.e. permitting non-standard base-pairing at the 3rd anti-codon position.
Source: RNAcentral